UUCAACCCGAAAAUGGUAUAAAAUAAACACUUCGAAUGGAUAUGGGUUAACAUAGACAGUGUUGAUAAUCAAUUCACUAAAAUAUAAAAGAACACAAACUUCUUGUAAAUCAAAGUCAAGAAAAUUGCAGAUACACGAAAUUCUCAAGAAGCAACAGAGGAAUUAGACAGCCUAAGGCACUCAUUUUGGCACCUCUUUAAACAGACAUCAUUCCAAUUGGGUACUUGAUGUUGAUUAACACAAACAGUUCUUGCACAAGCAUCA
This 264-nucleotide unclassified non-coding RNA is filed under the name Hevea brasiliensis (rubber tree). Lineage: Eukaryota; Viridiplantae; Streptophyta; Magnoliopsida; Malpighiales; Euphorbiaceae. The record is from RNAcentral.